RNAcentral lists this long non-coding RNA (682 nucleotides) under Rhinopithecus bieti (black snub-nosed monkey). RNAcentral's name for it is "lncRNA (ENSRBIG00000045149.1)". Lineage: Eukaryota; Metazoa; Chordata; Mammalia; Primates; Cercopithecidae. The record is from RNAcentral.
UGAAACAGCAACCUGAUAACCUAGAUUGCUAUUAACUAAAUUUUCAGGAUUGCCAUUCAUGCCCUGGCGAAUGUAUGGUAUUUAGAACAUCUUGGAUUUCCCAUCACCCUUUGUCUUUCUGUGUCUAUGUUGGCCUUAUUCAUAUAACAAACCUGGGUAAUCUAGUUCAUGUGAAAAGUGGUGGAGCAAACAACUCAGAACAUGUUACCUGUUCCGUUGACUCUGCAACUUCCAAGCAGGGCAGUUCGACUUGGAUAUACAAACCCAAAGAACAUGCUGAUCUCCAUUUGAAGAGGCUUCUAAACACCAGAAGGGACACAGCUUGCUGGGGGAAGGUCUGUGGGCCAGAGAUGUAUUUUGUUUUAAGAGAAAAGUCAGAAAGACAAGGAAAUCAAGAUUCUACCUCCCAACCAUCCAGGACUAAGGUCUCUUCCAAAGAUCACCCAAGUGGGCAUAUAUGACUCAAGGAACAAGAGGCAAAGCAUUCAGGAUGCCUUUAGAAGCCUUAGAUCUAAGAACCGUCUAAGACUGGGAAAGACUUGGGAUAGAAAAGACCCAGAAAAUCUGGGAGACACCCGGAAGACAUCUAGACCAAGGGUCUGCAAACUAUGACCUGACAACCAAAGCUGGCCUACUGCCUGUUUUUACAAAUAAAGUGUUACAGGAACACAGCCAUGCCCAU